CAGCAGCCGCGGGAAUACGUAGGGUGCGAGCGUUAAUCGGAAUUACUGGGCGUAAAGCGUGCGCAGGCGGUUCGCUAAGACAGAUGUGAAAUCCCCGGGCUUAACCUGGGAACUGCGCUUGUGACUGCACAGCUAGAGUAUGGCAGAGGGGGGUGGAAUUCCACGUGUAGCAGUGAAAUGCGUAGAGAUGUGGAGGAACACCGAUGGCGAAGGCAGCCCCCUGGGCCAAUACUGACGCUCAUGCACGAAAGCGUGGGGAGCAAACAGGAUUAGAUACCCCAGUAGUCCCUGUCUCUUAUAC
RNAcentral lists this ribosomal RNA (301 nucleotides) under uncultured bacterium. Its description in RNAcentral is "partial 16S ribosomal RNA". It matches the Rfam family "Bacterial small subunit ribosomal RNA", at positions 509 to 807 of the family's 1533-position model. The record is from RNAcentral.